AGUGAACGCUGGCGGUAGGCCUAACACAUGCAAGUCGAACGGCAGCACAGUAAGAGCUUGCUCUUACGGGUGGCGAGUGGCGGACGGGUGAGGAAUACAUCGGAAUCUACUUUUUCGUGGGGGAUAACGUAGGGAAACUUACGCUAAUACCGCAUACGACCUACGGGUGAAAGCAGGGGAUCUUCGGACCUUGCGCGAUUGAAUGAGCCGAUGUCGGAUUAGCUAGUUGGCGGGGUAAAGGCCCACCAAGGCGACGAUCCGUAGCUGGUCUGAGAGGAUGAUCAGCCACACUGGAACUGAGACACGGUCCAGACUCCUACGGGAGGCGGCAGUGGGGAAUAUUGGAAAAUGGGCGCAAGCCUGAUCCAGCCAUACCGCGUGGGUGAAGAAGGCCUUCGGGUUGUAAAGCCCUUUUGUUGGGAAAGAAAAGCAGCAGGUUAAUACCCCGCUGUUCUGACGGAACCCAAAGAAUAAGCACCGGCUAACUUCGU
RNAcentral lists this ribosomal RNA (491 nucleotides) under uncultured bacterium. RNAcentral's name for it is "partial 16S ribosomal RNA". It matches the Rfam family "Bacterial small subunit ribosomal RNA", at positions 29 to 506 of the family's 1533-position model. The record is from RNAcentral.